UACGUAGGGUGCGAGCGUUAAUCGGAAUUACUGAGCGUAAAGCGUCCGUAGGCGGUGCGGCAAGUCGGAAGUGAAAUCUCUGGGCUUAACUCAGAGGCUGCUUCCGAAACUGCCGUGCUCGAGUGUGGGAGAGGCGAGUGGAAUUGCAGGUGUAGCGGUGAAAUGCGUAGAUAUCUGCAGGAACACCAGAGGCGAAGGCGGCUCGCUGGACCACAACUGACGCUGAGGGACGAAAGCUAGGGGAGCAAACAGGAUUAGAAACCCUGGUAGU
RNAcentral lists this ribosomal RNA (271 nucleotides) under uncultured bacterium. Its description in RNAcentral is "partial 16S ribosomal RNA". It matches the Rfam family "Bacterial small subunit ribosomal RNA", at positions 524 to 794 of the family's 1533-position model. The record is from RNAcentral.